Molecule: long non-coding RNA, 5399 nt
Filed under: Homo sapiens (human)
Lineage: Eukaryota; Metazoa; Chordata; Mammalia; Primates; Hominidae
Description: non-protein coding FAM111A-DT:20
Source: RNAcentral
ACAGCGCUCCUCCUUGACGCCGCGAGCAGGACCCUGUCUCACUGACCCCGUGCCCACGGCGGUCCUUGCCUGCUUCUAUUCUCCCGGUUUCCCCAGUCCCGAGUAUUGGAAAGCGAGAGCGAAAGCGAAAGCAUCCUAGUCGCCGGUAGGCUGGCCUGGGCCGGGCUGGAGAGGGAGCAGGAAAUAAAAACUCGGGUGUGGGAGGAGCUGGGACGCUGGCGGCAGAGCCACUGUGGCAGCUUGAGUCUCGCGCGCGCAGGAAGCGGAGGUGGAAGUUGGGGCGCAGGAAUGUGGCUGUCCCCGCCUGUAAAUCAUGGUUGGGGAGGAGUCGCGGAGGCACCAGGCUGGGGUCUGCAGCGCGCCAUCUGCUGCAGCACACAGGAGGCGCUGAGGCUAGUUGGAGACAGAGUCUCACUGUGUCACCCAGGCUGGAGUGAAGUGGCAUGAUCUUGGCUUACUGAAACCUCCAUCUCCCAGGUUCAAGCGAUUCUCAUGCCUCAGCCACUUGAGUAGCUGGGACUACAGGAUUUCGCCAUGUUCCCCAGGCUGGUCUCAAACUCCUGAACUCAGGCAGCCCGCCUACCUUGGCCUCCCAAAGUGCUAGGCUCACAGCCCAAAUGACCCUCCAAGACCCUCUGGAGGCACCCGCAGUGCUCCUUAAUUUGCAGCUCUACAGAAUGAGACCAGCGUGGCAGCCCCCUUUCAGGACAGCUCCCGAGACGAGACGCGAGAGCAGCCCCUAAAUCUCACCCAGCAAAGCCGUUUCUUCCUAACCGGGCUGGGGAGUGCCGCGCGCUGCCAGCAGAUGGCGACAGAGGAUUAGCCUGCGGAAACCGGCCUUUUUAUAGCCAACAAGAGCAAAAGCACACUGCAAUGUCCAAACGAAUUGCAGGCGUUUUCUGCUCCCUGAAGCCUGGGAAUUAAUUUAUAUACUCAGUCCCUUUUCCCUUGGCUGGCCAUUGAAGUAGUUGAACCACAGGAUUGGACUGUCCAGAAUCAUUAGCCAGAGUUCACUGUGAGUGGACGUCUUUUAGUUCUGCUUCAACGCUAUAACCAACCUUUACCAAAAGCAACAACAAAACAAAAAACUGCAGAAACCAAUGAGUUCUGUUCACAAAGGAUGGCUCCUCAUGUCAUCACACCGGCAAGGAAUGGACGAGCCUCUGAUUUUUCUCUUCUUGGCUGACUUUACAAGGUUGGAUGCAGUCCAUGAGGAUCAUGCAGCAAAGACAGAAAGUGCUGGAGAAGCCCAACCUGCAGGGCCUCACCUUUAGCUGGUUUGUGUGGUUCCACUUCAUGUAGCUGUUGGAACACCAGUCUCUCUAAUGUGCUCUAUGGGAUAGCUGUUACCUUCCACUAAUUUAUGUCUAAUACCUAUAAACCUAAAGUAUCUUUUUAAAAAUUUUAUUCCGUCUUUUUGGAGGAAAUUUUUGUGCAUGCCAGAUAUAGUGUCAAGCAUUGGGAUUGCUAAGAUGAACGUAACAUUGUCCUCACCACCCAUUAAGUCACAAUCUAGUAGAUGAGUAAAAGUAAAAAAAAAAAUUAAAAAAAGAGUUAUAACCAUAAUACAGAAGUGAACAGGUUGCAGUGGUAGCACAGAGAGGGCUUCAGGGAUGCUGUCACAGAGGUGGUAACAUUUGAGAUAUAGAUUCCAAAUUCAGAUGUGUUUGCUGUUGCAAAAUUCCAGGGUCUAUGUGCCCAGUUCCUGAACAUUCCAGUGAUAAUUUUUACCUAAAAUUUAGGUGGCAAAUGAAUCUUACUAUAACCACUUGGAACCACUGUGUUUCUGGUCCAUCUUGUGAGGCCCAUCUUUGGUUCAGAGGGAUGGAGGCAGAAGUCAUACGGCAGCUUCACGAUUCGAACUCAAAUGUCUGGUCAGCUACUCAGCCAUCUCUUCCAAGCUGUCAGGUUUCCCUAAGGUAAGAGCCAUACUGAUAUGGUUUGGCUCUGUGUCCCCACCCAAAUCUCAUCUUGAAUUUUAAUCCCAAUAACCCCCAAGUGUCAAGGGGGGAAUCUGGUGGGAGGUGAUUGGAUCAUGGGGACAGUUUUGCCCAUGCUGUUCUCAUGAUAGUGAGUUCUCAUAAGAUAUGAUGGUUUUAUAAGGGGCUAUUCCCACUACACUUUUAUCUCUCCUGCCACCCUGUGAAGAAGGACAUAUUUUCUUCCCCUAAUUCCAUGAUUGUAAGUUUCCUGAGGCCCCCCAGCCAUGUGGAACUGUGAGUGAAUUAAACCUCUUUCCUUUAUAAAUUACCCAGUUUUGGGUAUUUCUUUGUAGCAGUGUAAAAACAGAUUAAUACAGGAAAUUGGUACCAGGAGUUUGGGGCACUGCCACAAAGAUACUUAAAAAUGUGGAAACCACUUCGGAACUGGGUAACAGGAAGAAGUUGGGACAGUUUGGAGGGCUCAGAAGACAGGAAGAUGUGGGAAAGUGUGGAACUUCCUAGAGACUUGCUGAAUGGUUUUGACCAAGAUGCUGAGAGUGAUAUGGACAACGAAGUACAGGCUGAGGUGUUCUUAUAUGGAGAUGAGGAACUUAUUUGAAACUGGAGCAAAUGUCACUCUUGCUAUGCUUUAGCAAAGAGACUGGAGGCAUUUUACCCCUGACCUAGAGAUCGGUGGAACUUUGAACUUUUAUUAGUCCAUUUUCAUACUGCUAUGAAGAAGUACCUGAGAUUGAGUAAUUUAUAAAGAAAAAGAGGUUUAAUGUACUCACAGUUCCACAUGGCAGAGGAGGCCUCACAAUCAUGGUGGAAGGUGAAGGAGGAGGAAAGCCGUGUCUUACAUGAUGGCAGUCAACAGAGCAUGUGCAGGGGAACUGCCCUUUAUAAAACCAUCAGGUCUUGUGAGACUUAUUCACUAUCACAAGAACAGCACAGGAAAAACCCACCCCCAUGAUUCAAUUACCUCCCACUGGGUCCCUCCCAGGACAUAUGGGGAUUAUGGGAGCUACAAUUCAAGAUGAGAUUUGGGUGGGGACAGAGCCACACCAUAUAAUUCCACCCCUGGUCCCUCCCAAAUCUCAUGUCCUUACAAUUCGAAACACAAUCAUCCCCUUCCAACCGUCUCCCAAAGUCUUAACUAAUUGCAGCAUUAAUACAAAAGUCCAAAUCCAGAGUCUCAUCUGAGACAAGGCAAGUCCCUUCCACCUAUGAGCCUGUAAAAUCAAAAGCAAGUCAGUUACUUCCUAGAUAUAAUGGGGGUAGAGGCUUUGGGUAAAUAUACCCAUUCCAAAUGGGAUAAAUUGCCAAAACAAAAGGGCCACAGCCCCCAUGCAAGUCCAAAAUCCAGCAGGGCAGUCAAAUCUUAAAGCUCCAAAAUAAGCUUUGACUAUAUGCCUCACAUCCAGGUCACACUGAUGCAAGAGGUGGGUUCCCAUGGUCCUGGGCAGCUCUGCCCCUGUGGCUUUGCAGGGUACAGCCCACUCCCCCUUCCCCGGCUGCUUUCAUGAGCUGGCAUGAAAAUGGACAUUGGGCAAACUCACAGUCUGGCAUGAAGCUUUUCCAGGAGCAUGGUGCAAGCUGUUGGUGGAUUUACCAUUCUGGCGUUUGGAGGAUGGUGGCCCUCUUCUCACAGCUACACUAGGCAGUGUCUCGGGGGGACUCUCUGUGGGGGCUACCACCUCACAUUUCCCUUCUGCACUGCCCUAGCAGAGGUUCUCCAUGAGGGCUCCACCCCUGCAGCAAACUUCUGCCUGGAUAUCCAGGCGUUUCCAUACAUCCUGUGAAAUCUAGGUGGAGGUUCCCAAACCUCAAUUCUUUACUUCUGUUCACCUGCAGGCCCAACACCAUGUGUAAGGCACCAAGGCUUGGGGCUUGCACCCUCUGAGUCAAUGGCCUGAGCUAUAUCUUGGCCCCUUUUAGCCACAGCUGGGACACAGGGCACCAAGUUCUAAGACUGCACAAAGCAGCAAGACCUGGGGUUUAGCCCAUGAAACCACUUUUUCCUUCUAGGCCUCUGGGCCUGUGAUGGGAGGGGCUGUCAUGCAGACCUCUGGCAUGCUCUGGAGACAUUUUCCCCAUUGUCUUGGUGAUUAACAUUUGGCUCCUUGUUACUUAUGCAGAUUUCUGCAGCUGGCUUAAAUUUACCCUCAGAAAAUGAGGUUUUAUCUUCUAUCACAUCGACGGGCUGCAAAUUUUCUGAACUUUUAUGAUCUGCUUCCCUUUUAAACAUAAGUUCCAAUUCCAAAUGAUAUCUUUGUGAAUGACUAAAACUGAAUGCUUUUAAGAGUACCCAAGUCACAUCUUGAAUGCUUUGGUGCUUAGAAAUUUCUUCUUCCAGAUACCCUAAAUCAUCUCUCUCAAGUUCAAAGUUCCACAGAUCUCUAGGGUGGGGCAAAAUGCCACCAGCCUCUUUGCUAAAGCAUAGCAAGAAUGACCUUUGCCCCAGUGCCCAAGUUCCUCAUCUCUGUCUGAGACCAUGUCAGCCUGGAAUUUAUUGUCGGUAUCACUAUCACAUUUUGGGCAAAGGCAUUCGACAAGUCUCUAUGAAGUUCCAAACUUUCCCACAUUUUCCUGUCUUCUUCUGAGCCCCCUAACCUUUUCCAACCUCUGCCUGUUACCCAGUUCCAAAGUUGCUUCCACAUUUUCAGGUAUGUUUACAGCAGCACCCCACUCUCUGUGAUACCAAUUUACUGUAUUAGUCCAUUUUCAUACUACUAUGAAGAAAUACCUGAGACUGGGUAAUUUAUAAAGAAAAAGGGGUUUAAUGGACUCAGAGUUCUACAUGGGUGGGGAGGACUCACAAUCAUGGUGGAAGAUGAAAGAGGAGCAAAGGCACAUCUUACAUGGCAGCAGGCAAGAGGGAGCAUGUGUAGGGGAACUCUCCUAUAUAACUAUCAGAUCUUGUGAGACUUAUUCACUAUUGCAAGAACAGCAUAGAAAAAACUCAUCCCCGUGAUUCAAUUACCACCCACUGGGUCCCUCCCAGGACAUGUGGGGAUUAUGGGAGCUACAGUUCAAGAUGAGAUUUGGGUGGGGACACAACCAAACCAUAUCAGAACUUGAGAGAGAUUAUUUGAAAUUGGAACAUAUGUUUAAAGGGAAGGAGAAUGUAAAAGUCUGGAAAAUUUGCAGCCUGACCAUAUGGUAGAAAAGAAAAACCCAUUUUCUGGGAAGAAACUCAAGCUAGCUACAGAAAUUUGCAUAAGUAACGAGAAGCCAAAUCUUAAUUGCCAAGACAAUGGGGAAAAUGUCUCCAGGGCAUGUCAGAGAACUUAGUGGCAGCUCCUCCCAUCACAAGCCUGGUUACACGGUUAGGUGGAAAAGACAAGUUGUAUGUAGAGAUCAUUAUCAGAAAUUGCUAAACUCUGUCAUCAAAAACUCUGUUGGAAUGGAUUUUAAAAUUUCUUAAUAAAAGAUGAAACAUGACUUUGGUUUAGUUUUUGAAGUGGUGCACUCUCC